Molecule: ribosomal RNA, 2169 nt
Filed under: Triticum aestivum (bread wheat)
Lineage: Eukaryota; Viridiplantae; Streptophyta; Magnoliopsida; Poales; Poaceae
Description: partial small subunit ribosomal RNA
Source: RNAcentral
AUGGCGACGGUAAUGCCGGGGGUCUUGCUGCGCCUGCUGCAGGCGAUGCACACGGACGAGCGGGUCACCGGCGAGCACCGCUCCCCCGCGCUCCAGGUCACGGCGGUCGUGCCCGCGCUCACGGCCUCCACCGCCGACUCCCUGCUAUGCCCCUCCAACGGCUUUCUCCUCCAGCUCUCCGACGGCCUCCACUCCACCUACGUCCAGCCCUCACCCGCCGACGCCGACGCGCUCCUCUCCGCGCGGCCCCACAUCGUCGGCCACCUGGUCCACCUCGACCGCCUCCGCUUCGCCAGCCCGGUUCCCCGCGCCGUCGGCCUCCGCCCCGUUCCGUCCUCCCGAUCCCUCCCCUGCGUCGGCAACCCGGAGCCGCUCAUUGUCCGCUCCGCCGCGUGCUCCCGGGGCUACGUCAUCAGGCCGGAUUCCUCGCCCGACGCUGCGCCGCCGCUCAUGCCGUCCGGCUCCGGCAGUGCGCCACCGUCUGAUGCGAUGGAUGCUGCCGUCAAAAGGACCGUUCUUGCUCCCAGGAAUGGCCCCGAGGCCGCGGCGCUGCCAGGCGGUUCGGCCGUGAAGCGGCGGUUCUCGUCUCCGGCGCCGGCCAAGCAGCGAGAUCCGUCGCCUGCGGUGAAGGGAGCGUCCCGAGCGGCGUCUCCCUCUGUCAAGGGCGCCUCCAGAGCGUCGUCACCUGCCGUGAGAGGCACGUCCAGGUCGUCGUCGCCAGCCCCCUCGAAGUGUGUGGUUCCCAGCCUUGUUGCGGCCGAGGAGGAGAACCGCAGGGUCGCAAAGGAGCCAGCCAUUAUCGUGCCAUCGAGGUACAGGCAGCCUUCACCAGGAGGGAGAAGAGGAGCGGCCUCUCCAGGUGGCGGUGGCAGGCGGGGCUCCCUCUCACCCGGUUCCCGGAGGCUUUCAGGAGAAGGGGGCAGCAAGAAGAAGGUCGGGGUGUUGGUGUCUGGUAUCUCGAAGAUGACAGAUUUGGGGAGCGGGUCAGCCAUGAAGCCGGGGAGGAAGAGCUGGGACGAGUCGGCAAUGGCUCUUGCAGCUGCGGCCGCUGGCACGGUGAAGAAGUCCAAGGUCAAGGUGGACAGAGAUACUAUUCUGAGGACUCAGGAAGCAAUGUCACGGCGACUUAGUGAUGCUACAACAGAGCUAUCCAGUAACGAUGACACCUCUGUUGAUGAGAAGCCAAAACCACGAAAGAAGACAGAGUCUAGUGCAGGGAAGGCAAAAACAGCUCCAAAAAUCAUACUUCAUGAUGCUAAAUGGACUGAUGGCAGCGUUCCACUGGUUACAGUUUCAGAUAAACUUUCGAAGAUCGGAAAGGAAGCUGAUCCUCCUAAUGCCGUCUUCGUUUUGUUAUUGAUUUUACAGGAAGCUGCUGAACGGAGAGAUGCAGCAGCAGCCGCUGCAGCUGACGCUCUGCAGGAGGCAUUGAUCACUGAUUCAGUUAUCAGAAAUCUGAGCAAGUUCUCUGAACUUUGUUCGUUGUCGAAGACCGCGAAUCCACUCCCAACUGUCGAUUGUUUCCUUGCUGUCUAUGAAGACACUCUCAAGUGGAAGAAAAUCGCCGAGUCAAUGGCCACCAACGGAGCAGACGAAGCUGCAUUCUGGGAGAAAUCAGCCACUCAUUGGGUUGAGGCAGCAUUAGCAACCGAACUGGAGGUCCUCAAGCUUGUUAACAGCGCCACUGGAUCCAUCUACCAGAAGAAGAGCACUGAAAAGCCCAAGGCUCCUGCAGUGGAACCACCAAGAACAAGCCUGUCCAAGAGGCCAUCGCUUGGAGCUUCUGCAAAGGUCCAGUCCAGGGCAUCACCUCUCCCUGCUGCAUGGCCUAAAACUCCGGGCAUGAACGAGACGGUUGAGCUUGCCAACACCUUGUGCCGAGAGAUGCAUGCCUGGUUUCUGAAAUUUGUGAACGAGGCCAUGGAUGUAGGCUUCCACCUGUUUGAAGACCAGAACAUUGCAACUAGGGGAAAGCAGAGCGGCCAUAUCACGGUGGUCCUGUCGCAGUUCAAGAGGAUCAGCGACUGGCUCGACGGAGUCGGUAAGAUCGCCGACGAGGAUGCGACCAAGGACAAUGUAGAGCGGUUGAAGCGCAAGAUCUACCAGUUCGUCAUCAGCCGCAUGGGGUCUGCCUUCGAGAGCUCGGUCUCAGUUUCAGCAAAGAGUUGA